This is a long non-coding RNA of Panicum hallii, 2180 nucleotides long. RefSeq lists it as uncharacterized. The record is from RefSeq and is a predicted model, not a curated record. Lineage: Eukaryota; Viridiplantae; Streptophyta; Magnoliopsida; Poales; Poaceae. The transcript has 4 exons.
UCGUUCGGGGAGCGAGCAGUCGCGUCACGACGUCUCCCCUAGCGACCCACCUUCCCCCGCAUGCCGAGUCGCCGACGGUUCCAUCUCUCCCGUCCCGACGAACUUCUCCUCUACAGCCCGCCGCCCUCCCCUCGCUCCACCCCGACCCUCGGGCCGCUCGCCUCCCCACCGCGCCGCCGCGGUCGCGCCAUCCCACCGAGCCCCCGACGCGCGUGGCACACCUCCGCACCAAGCAUCCCCACCGGCCGCCGCUUCGCCGUCGACCCGCAACCGCGGCGCCGCCGCAGUCCCGCCGCGUCUCCGCCCUCGCGCCAAGCCGCCGCCGGGCGUGGCCGUUCGCACUCGGGCCGCUAGCCUCCCCACCGCCUCCCCUCCGCCUUCUCCUUCAAACCCGCCGAGACCGCCGCCGCCGUACUCUCCUGCACGCGAUCCGGCGGCCGCCGCUUCCUUCAGCAAUCGAAUCCAAUCAAGUCCAAUCGGGGAUGGACACCACCCAGCUCGCCAUGUUUGAGGAGGUGGCCUCGCUCACCAAGGACAAUCUGCACAGCAAGCACCUCAUCCUCUCCACCGAGGAGGCUCUCAUCGCCGCCCUCCAGCAGCUUCGCUGCACCGACGCCGGCGACAGCGACGGUGGAGAGGAGGACGGUGCGGCGGACACCAUAUAGCUCCAGCCCGCCGGGGCUACCACCGCCUUCUCUUGCAUCGCCUUGCUGAAAUCUACGGGUUCGCACAUAAAUCGGUUGGUGAAGGCGAGGAUCGGCACUUGGUCCUCCAGCGCUGCCCUGAAACAACCAUCUAUGUUGGCAAGCUUGCUUGCAAAUAUCUGCCUUAUAAUGAUGUAUCCUUGACCUGUUGCCUGACAUAUUUAUACCUUUCCUGUUGUGUUUCGUAGAUCAUGUUCUGACAUUAGAUCACAAUCACUAUCGUACCACACCAUUAGUAUAUUUCAAGGAUCUAGGAUCUUUCUGCCACCACUUGAGGCUUGGAUGAAUGCAAGAUCAAUAGAAUUACAGCCAAUUACUCUACACACACAGAUGUUUAUUUCUUAACAUGUCUUUCCAAUUGUAUAACUAGACCCUGUGUAGGAUGAUGGUCUAUUUUAAUUUAUUAAUAAACAUGAUCACUUCAAUGGUUUAUAAUAUCUAUAUCUCAUUCUGUUCCUCAGAGAGCGGGAGCUGAAAUAAAACUGUUUUUGUCACUUGGAUCUCUGCAUAUUCUACUAGCAUGUGCCAAUUCAAGUGCAGCUUCUAAUCCUAGCAUAUUAUUAUGUGCUGCUUUCCUUGUGUUGGAAUUGCCUCUCGCUUGCAUUUUUUCUUUCUAUAUUAUCAUUAUCUAGAGAACUCUGCUGCGUAUCAUUGCUUGAGUAAAUCUUCAGCAGUUGUUCAUUUAGCCCUAGGUUGAAUUAGUUAUCUUGUUGUUGCAGCCCUCCUUUCCUUAUUAGUGAUAUGUUAUGGAAGUUUGAAACGGUGAUGAUUCCACAUCUGUUGAUGAUUCCAUAUCUGUUGUGCUAACCAGAAGUAAUACAGGAAUGGCAGAUUCAGGAAGAAGAAAUGGUAGUUCGAGCCCCACUUGGAGACCCACCAAACAACACCAAUGGAGGGACUAAAACAUGCACCGAGUUGGAGGCUACGGCCACUAGAAGUUAUCCUAAGGAACUAGAGAGAGAAAGAGGGAGAGAGCCCGAUCCGCAACAAUGUCCAUUGAACAGACAAAUGACAUGAACAAGAAGCGUCGUGAUUCAAUGUCUAAUGAAAAGAGGAAAGAGGAAUGACAGCAACAAGUAGCGUUCUGAGUUGUAUAAGGCUAAUAAAGGACAAUCAUUAUGUGAAAGUUUGCGUGCGGAUAUCGAUGAAUCUAGAAGUAUCGGUUCACUAAUGUCUGGUCAGUCACAGAUGCUUCAGAUUUCUAUGACUCCCCAAAACACUGGUCAAUUGCUCAAAGGUAAAAGGCAAAAUACUGAAUGCAAGGACCUGCCAAUGGCGAUCUCCCUUAGUGCGGUUUGGACUGCCACUUGUUCAUCGUGAAGAGAUAUGUCUUGUGAAGUAGUUAUAUAUAUUCUAUGAAACCAAUACCAUUGAGAAAGAGCAAUCUGUAUACUAAUCAUAUCAACAGAACAUAUAUACGGCACUGAUUUUGGGCUCUGCAUAUGGUGAGAAAGAGGUGAUGGCAUUGAUUUGUGA